This 512-nucleotide unclassified non-coding RNA is filed under the name Fusarium oxysporum. RNAcentral describes it as "sequence contains 18S rRNA gene, ITS1, 5.8S rRNA gene, ITS2, 28S rRNA gene". The record is from RNAcentral. Lineage: Eukaryota; Fungi; Ascomycota; Sordariomycetes; Hypocreales; Nectriaceae.
GGUCACAUUCAGAAGUUGGGGUUUAACGGCGUGGCCGCGACGAUUACCAGUAACGAGGGUUUUACUACUACGCUAUGGAAGCUCGACGUGACCGCCAAUCAAUUUGAGGAACGCGAAUUAACGCGAGUCCCAACACCAAGCUGUGCUUGAGGGUUGAAAUGACGCUCGAACAGGCAUGCCCGCCAGAAUACUGGCGGGCGCAAUGUGCGUUCAAAGAUUCGAUGAUUCACUGAAUUCUGCAAUUCACAUUACUUAUCGCAUUUUGCUGCGUUCUUCAUCGAUGCCAGAACCAAGAGAUCCGUUGUUGAAAGUUUUGAUUUAUUUAUGGUUUUACUCAGAAGUUACAUAUAGAAACAGAGUUUAGGGGUCCUCUGGCGGGCCGUCCCGUUUUACCGGGAGCGGGCUGAUCCGCCGAGGCAACAAGUGGUAUGUUCACAGGGGUUUGGGAGUUGUAAACUCGGUAAUGAUCCCUCCGCUGGUUCACCAACGGAGACCUUGUUACGACUUUUUAC